GUCAAAGGAACCUAUAAUAAAAGACCCGUUGAUUAAUUUAACGGCUCUCUUUAAUAUAAUAGAUCUAAUAUUAGAGAUAAAGGGUCUCUUAUGUAUCAUAGGGCCCACCAAAAGAUGGAGGAAAAAAAACAAGAGAUCCCUAAUUGACUCAACAGGUCUCUUAUAUGUGUAAGGGCCCACCACUUAAAGGAUUGAUAUCAAACCCUAUUUCUUUCUCUUCAUAUUCCCCAUUUCCCAUCACUAUUAUUCAGUAUUCACGCCGCUUCCCUUUUCUCUUUCAUUCUCCUCUCAUUUUAUUUUAUUUUUGAAGCAAAAAAUGCUGCUUCCACCUCCUUCUUAACGUCGGUGGUCGCUUCCAUCACCUCCUCAAUGCCGGCGUCGCUUCCUCUUUUUGCCAUAGGAGAAAUUGCGCCACAACCUCUUCCUCCUUAACACGCUGUUGCUGCCUUAUUUUAUUUCACCACUAAUUCACCGUCAAUCAAAGCUUAAAUUUAAUUAAAGAUAAAUUUUGACCAUGAAAACUCCAAAUCUGAAGUUUUCGUGGUUAAAUUUGGCCAACAAGCCAAAAUUUAAGUGUUUAAAAAGGAUAUGAACUAGCAAUGGCGACGAAGAAGACGAUGAUAAUAGCUGAUUAGUGGUGCUCCAAGUGUAUAGACGAACAUAAUGGCGACUGGUUCUUUAAUUACUUUGAUGAGAUUUGUUGAUGUCGUUACAAUCAAACAAAAAAGUAGCAAAUGGAGUACUCAAGUCUAAUUACUGUAAUUUUAAUUGUAAUUGUAAAUUUCAAUAGAUUCAAACAAUUUUUUUAGUUGGGAUUUUAUGUUCAUUGAUUUUUUUUUUUCAUCUCAUCAAUUUUAAUUGUAAUUUGCAUGUUACAUAAAAAUUAAGUAUACAAAUUACUAAUACUACCAAUUUAUAAUUUAGCUCCUCAAUUUUGCUAAUUUGUAUAGAGUGUAAAAAUAAAAUUAAUUAAAAUGCAAACCGCAAAUAAAAAAUAAUAAAAAUAAAAAAAUAUUUUUUUUUCAAAAUAUAAAGAACAAAGAGACCCGUUAUUUGACCCGACAUGUCUGUUUCAUGUAGUCAAACAAACCCCUUAUAUCAAACAACGAGUCUCUUACUGUUCCAAAACUAUCAUCUCACCGCGUAAAUAACGGACCCGUUGUCACUGAUAACGAGUCUCUUUGUCCGUACAAACAGACCCCUCAUCAGAACAGGUCUCUUAAUCAAAGAGACCCCUAAGAUAGAGACCCGUUCAGAAGUGGUCUCUCAAGCAUGUUUCAACGGGUCUCUUUGCCCAUUUUUGUAGUAGUGAGACAUCAUUGGUCGGCGGCCUACAGGCGGCACUGGCUAGUCUGGGCGGCGAGCUGUCUUGGGCGGCAGUGAGCUUGCAUGCUCACGUAGGAAGCAGGAAAGAUAAAGAAAGAAAAAAAAGAAAAAGAAAAGGGAAAGAAAAAAGAGAGGAAAGAAAAAUAAAAGAGAAAAGAAAAUACUAACCUUUUGUGUGGGGAAAAUUUUGGGGAUGUAUAAGGUAUUUAUAGGAGAGGGAGUUGUUAUGUAAGUAGGAAUAUUGGGUCAAUGGGCCAAUUAAGGAAUAAAAAUAGACAUAAAUUGUAGAAUGAAGGUUCAUAAAAUAAUUUGUACCAAAAUAAUUUUCGAACCAAAUUAAUAAUUUGAAACUUGAAAUUAAAUUCUAGAAAAAUACAGAUAAAUAUUAUAAAUAAAAUAAAAUUUCAUUUAUAAAUUGUUUAAAAAUACGUGGGAUUACAGAUUAUGCCCCAAGACGUGGACAUGUUAUUUCUAAUUAUCAGACAAAUUUUUCUCGAGGCGUGGAAAGUUGUUGGUGGUUGCACACUUCUCGAGGCGUAGAAGUUGGCGAUAAUUCCCAAGGCGUGGAAAAUAUCAUUCCCGAGGUGUGGAAAAAAUAUCAUCUAACAAAAUUCCGAGGCGUGAAAAAAAUCAUCUAAUAGUAUUCUCGAGCCGUGGAAAACUAUCAUCCCGUGGAUUUCUGAAGGCGUAGAAAACUAUCAAACAUAUUUUCCACCGAUUCACUAGUUCCGAUUCACUAAUGUAAUUUGAUUGUGAAUGUUUAGCAAUAUUGAAUUGAUGAAUCGAGCAGAUGU
Long non-coding RNA from Chenopodium quinoa (quinoa), 2120 nucleotides. RefSeq lists it as uncharacterized. The transcript is spliced from 3 exons. NCBI's taxonomy places the organism in Eukaryota, Viridiplantae, Streptophyta, Magnoliopsida, Caryophyllales, Amaranthaceae. The record is from RefSeq and is a predicted model, not a curated record.